AGUCAAGUAAUUAAGUGCAUGUGGUGGAUGCCUUGGCAGUCAGAGGCGAUGAAAGACGUGAUAGCCUGCGAAAAGCUCCGGGGAGGCGGCAAAUAUCCUUUGAUCCGGAGAUGUCUGAAUGGGGGAACCCACCUACUUUAAGGUAGGUAUUGCAACAUGAAUACAUAGUGUUGCAAGGCGAACGAGGGGAAGUGAAACAUCUCAGUACCCUUAGGAAAAGAAAUCAAUUGAGAUUCCCUCAGUAGCGGCGAGCGAACGGGGAUCAGCCCAUUAAGUUAUGUGUGUUUUAGUGGAACGCUCUGGGAAGUGCGAACGUAGAGGGUGAUAUUCCCGUACACGAAAGGGCACACAUAAUGAUGACGAGUAGGGCGAGGCACGUGAAACCUUGUCUGAAUAUGGGGGGACCAUCCUCCAAGGCUAAAUACUCCUGACUGACCGAUAGUGAACCAGUACCGUGAGGGAAAGGCGAAAAGAACCCCUGUGAGGGGAGUGAAAUAGAUCCUGAAACCGCAUGCAUACAAGCAGUGGGAGCACCUUCGUGGUGUGACUGCGUACCUUUUGUAUAAUGGGUCAGCGACUUAUAUUCAGUAGCGAGGUUAACCGUAUAGGGGAGCCGUAGAGAAAUCGAGUCUUAAUAGGGCGUUUAGUUGCUGGGUAUAGACCCGAAACCAGGCGAUCUAUCCAUGAGCAGGUUGAAGGUUGGGUAACACUAACUGGAGGACCGAACCCACUGUCGUUGAAAAGCCAGGGGAUGACUUGUGGAUAGGGGUGAAAGGCUAAUCAAGCCUGGUGAUAGCUGGUUCUCCCCGAAAGCUAUUUAGGUAGCGCCUCGGACGAAUACCAUAGGGGGUAGAGCACUGUUUCGGCUAGGGGGUCAUCCCGACUUACCAAACCGAUGCAAACUCCGAAUACCUAUGAGUACUAUCCGGGAGACAGACUGCGGGUGCUAACGUCCGUAGUCAAGAGGAAAACAAUCCAGACCGCCAGCUAAGGCCCCAAAAUCAUAGUUAAGUGGGAAACGAUGUGGGAAGGCAUAGACAGCUAGGAGGUUGGCUUAGAAGCAGCCACCCUUUAAAGAAAGCGUAAUAGCUCACUAGUCGAGUCGGCCUGCGCGGAAGAUGUAACGGGGCUAAAACUAUGUGCCGAAGCUGCGGAUGUAUACUUUGUAUACGUGGUAGGGGAGCGUUCUGUAAGCCGAUGAAGGUGUGUUGAGAAGCAUGCUGGAGGUAUCAGAAGUGCGAAUGCUGACGUGAGUAACGACAAAACGGGUGAAAAACCCGUUCGCCGAAAGACCAAGGGUUCCAGUCCAACGUUAAUCGGGGCUGGGUGAGUCGACCCCUAAGGCGAGGCCGAAAGGCGUAGUCGAUGGUAAAAUGGUUAAUAUUCCAUUACUUCUGUGUAAUGCGAUGAGAGGACGGAGAAGGCUAAAUCAGCCUGGCGUUGGUUGUCCAGGUGAAAGGAUGUAGGCAUGUAUCUUAGGCAAAUCCGGGGUACUCUAUGCUGAGAUCUGAUAGCAAGCUGUACUUGUACAGCGAAGUGGUUGAUGCCAUGCUUCCAGGAAAAGUCUCUAAGCUUCAGUUACACAGGAAUCGUACCCGAAACCGACACAGGUGGUCAGGUCGAGUAGACCAAGGCGCUUGAGAGAACUCUGCUGAAGGAACUAGGCAAAAUGGUACCGUAACUUCGGGAGAAGGUACGCUGUUGUUGGUGAUGGAACUCGCUUCCUGAGCUGACGACAGCCGCAGAAACCAGGCCGCUGCAACUGUUUAUUAAAAACAUAGCACUCUGCAAACACGAAAGUGGACGUAUAGGGUGUGAUGCCUGCCCGGUGCUGGAAGGUUAAUUGAUGGGGUUAGCGUAAGCGAAGCUCUUGAUCGAAGCCCCAGUAAACGGCGGCCGUAACUAUAACGGUCCUAAGGUAGCGAAAUUCCUUGUCGGGUAAGUUCCGACCUGCACGAAUGGCAUAAUGAUGGCGGCGCUGUCUCCAGCAGAGGCUCAGUGAAAUCGAAAUCGCUGUGAAGAUGCAGUGUACCCGCGGCUAGACGGAAAGACCCCGUGAACCUUUACUGCAGCUUGACACUGAACUUUGACCUUACUUGUGUAGGAUAGGUGGGAGGCUUUGAAGCUGGAACGCUAGUUCCAGUGGAGCCGUCCUUGAAAUACCACCCUGGUAAUGUUGAGGUUCUAACUCUGUCCCGUGAUCCGGGACGAGGACCGUGUCUGGUGGGUAGUUUGACUGGGGCGGUCUCCUCCUAAAGAGUAACGGAGGAGUACGAAGGUGCGCUCAGCGUGGUCGGAAAUCACGCGUAGAGUAUAAAGGCAAAAGCGCGCUUAACUGCGAGACCCACAAGUCGAGCAGGUACGAAAGUAGGUCUUAGUGAUCCGGUGGUUCUGUAUGGAAGGGCCAUCGCUCAACGGAUAAAAGGUACUCUGGGGAUAACAGGCUGAUACCGCCCAAGAGUUCAUAUCGACGGCGGUGUUUGGCACCUCGAUGUCGGCUCAUCUCAUCCUGGGGCUGAAGCAGGUCCCAAGGGUAUGGCUGUUCGCCAUUUAAAGAGGUACGCGAGCUGGGUUUAGAACGUCGUGAGACAGUUCGGUCCCUAUCUACCGUGGGCGCUGGAAAUUUGAGAGGAUCUGCUCCUAGUACGAGAGGACCAGAGUGGACGAACCUCUGGUGUACCGGUUGUGACGCCAGUCGCAUCGCCGGGUAGCUAUGUUCGGAAGGGAUAACCGCUGAAAGCAUCUAAGCGGGAAGCCUACCUCAAGAUAAGAUUUCCCUAGGACUUUAUGUCCUCUAAAGAGCCGUUCGAGACUAGGACGUUGAUAGGUUGGAUGUGGAAGCAUAGUGAUAUGUGAAGCUGACCAAUACUAAUUGCUCGUGAGGCUUGACUAU
RNAcentral lists this ribosomal RNA (2893 nucleotides) under Acinetobacter baumannii. Its description in RNAcentral is "23S ribosomal RNA". It matches the Rfam family "Bacterial large subunit ribosomal RNA". The record is from RNAcentral. Lineage: Bacteria; Pseudomonadati; Pseudomonadota; Gammaproteobacteria; Moraxellales; Moraxellaceae.